RNAcentral lists this long non-coding RNA (251 nucleotides) under Elaeis guineensis (African oil palm). RNAcentral describes it as "long non-coding RNA (EGUI_LNC075132)". Lineage: Eukaryota; Viridiplantae; Streptophyta; Magnoliopsida; Arecales; Arecaceae. The record is from RNAcentral.
UGCACAAUAUUGCUAGCUGUUGCUCCUAAACCCUCUUUCCGCAAGAAAUUUGCUGAAAACUGAAGUGAUCCGCUGGAACGAGGGUUGCUAUUGCCAAGCCGAGCCUAAUGACGAUUUGCUGAAUUUUCUUUGCAAUUAGACAGCACUGCUGUUGGCACUUGUAAGUAGUUCUUCUUCCCUUUAAUAAAUUUCAGGUGGCACUUCUGCCACCUUUGCAUUCAAAAAUGAUGGACCAAGUAGGGUGAUGGGAG